Molecule: ribosomal RNA, 253 nt
Filed under: uncultured bacterium
Lineage: Bacteria
Description: partial 16S ribosomal RNA
Rfam family: Bacterial small subunit ribosomal RNA
Source: RNAcentral
UACAGAGGUCUCAAGCGUUGUUCGGAUUCAUUGGGCGUAAAGGGUGUGUAGGUGGCGCCGUAAGUCGGGUGUGAAAUUUCGGAGCUUAACUCCGAGACUGCAUUCGAUACUGCGGUGCUUGAGGACUGGAGAGGAGACUGGAAUUCAUGGUGUAGCAGUGAAAUGCGUAGAGAUCAUGAGGAAGACCAGUGGCGAAGGCGGUUCUCUGGGCAUUACCUGACGCUGAGGAGCGAAAGCAUGGGGAGCGAACAGG